RNAcentral lists this non-coding RNA (202 nucleotides) under unclassified sequences. RNAcentral's name for it is "RT-16 RNA". It matches the Rfam family "RT-16 RNA". From Rfam's summary of the family: candidate division DUSEL4 (Archaea). The record is from Rfam by way of RNAcentral.
CCUAGCUUAUUGUUUAGAGGUCUGUCUCCCAAGACAGACUAAUGAAGGGCAGUAACUUGGGCUACACGCUUACCCAUAAUGUAGCAAAAGUGCUACAAUAAAAUACAAUGGCGAUAGUUAGUAGCUAUAAAAGGUGUGUGGGAAGCCCUUUCGCGAAUAUUGGAGCCAUGGUGGAUAAAUAAUUAUGGAUAAGCUAGCCGGU